RNAcentral lists this ribosomal RNA (414 nucleotides) under uncultured bacterium. RNAcentral's name for it is "bacterial SSU rRNA". It matches the Rfam family "Bacterial small subunit ribosomal RNA", at positions 76 to 524 of the family's 1533-position model. The record is from RNAcentral.
GAUCUCGUUCCACUCUGAUCGGCUGACGGUGAGAGUAACACGUGAGGAACGUGCCCUUUGGUUCGGAACAACCCAGUGGAAACUUGGGCUAAUACCGGAUAAUCCCUUACGGGGAAAGAUUAUCGCCGAAGGAUCGGCCCGCGUCUGAUUAGCUAGUUGGUGGGGUAAUGGCCCACCAAUGCGACGAUCAGUAUCUGGUCUGAUAGGAUGAUCAGUCUCACUGGGACUGAUACACGGUCCAUACUCCUACGGGAGGCAUCAGUGGGGAAUAUUGGACAAUGGGCGCAAGCCUGAUCCAGCCAUGCCGCGUGGGUGAUGAAGGCCCUAGGGUUGUAAAGCCCUUUCGGCGGGGAAGAUAAUGACUGUACCCGUAUAAGAAGCCCCGGCUAACUUCGUGCCAGCAGCCGCGGUAAU